GUGGGGAAUAUUGCACAAUGGGGGGAACCCUGAUGCAGCGAUGCCGCGUGGAGGAAGAAGGUUUUCGGAUUGUAAACUCCUGUCUUAAAGGACGAUAAUGACGGUACUUUAGGAGGAAGCUCCGGCUAACUACGUGCCAGCAGCCGCGGUAAUACGUAGGGAGCGAGCGUUGUCCGGAAUUACUGGGUGUAAAGGGAGCGUAGGCGGGAUUGCAAGUCAGAUGUGAAAUACGUGGGCUUAACCCACGGGCUGCAUUUGAAACUGUAGUUCUUGAGUGAAGUAGAGGCAAGCGGAAUUCCUGGUGUAGCGGUGAAAUGCGUAGAUAUCAGGAGGAACACCGGUGGCGAAGGCGGCUUGCUGGGCUUUUACUGACGCUGAGGCUCGAAAGCGUGGGGAGCAAACAGG
RNAcentral lists this ribosomal RNA (405 nucleotides) under uncultured bacterium. RNAcentral's name for it is "bacterial SSU rRNA". It matches the Rfam family "Bacterial small subunit ribosomal RNA", at positions 354 to 776 of the family's 1533-position model. The record is from RNAcentral.